RNAcentral lists this transfer RNA (72 nucleotides) under bacterium. Its description in RNAcentral is "tRNA-Thr". It matches the Rfam family "tRNA". Rfam says of the family: Transfer RNA (tRNA) molecules are approximately 80 nucleotides in length. Their secondary structure includes four short double-helical elements and three loops (D, anti-codon, and T loops). The record is from RNAcentral. RNAcentral also lists the same sequence under 2 other names.
GCUGGUGUAGCUCAAUGGUAGAGCAGCGCAUUCGUAAUGCGCAGGGUAGCGGUUCAAGUCCGCUCACCAGCU